GAGACGCAUGUGCACGUCGGUCGCAAACCAAUCCACACACCGUGAACCUAUGGCCUCGGAUUUUAGUUCAGACCCUGGGCACCAUUUUUACACUCUAUUUGUAAAGGAAUGUCUUAUAUCAUAUAAACAAACAACUUUCAACAACGGAUCUCUUGGCUCUCGCAUCGAUGAAGAACGCAGCGAAAUGCGAUAAGUAAUGUGAAUUGCAGAAUUCAGUGAAUCAUCGAAUCUUUGAACGCACCUUGCACCCUUUGGUAUUCCGAAGGGUACGCCCGUUUGAGUGUCAUUGUAAUCUCACCCCGAAAUCUUUUUUUUGGAGUGGACUUGGACGCUGCCGUGUUGCAUGGCUCGUCUUGAACGUCUCAGUGUGCCCCGCCCGUCGGUGUAAACAGCGUGAUAAGUAUCUUCCCUUGUCAACCCUCUCGGGGGG
Molecule: ribosomal RNA, 430 nt
Filed under: mycorrhizal basidiomycete sp. M4
Lineage: Eukaryota; Fungi; Basidiomycota
Description: eukaryotic LSU rRNA
Rfam family: 5.8S ribosomal RNA (bases 133-286)
Source: RNAcentral